Molecule: ribosomal RNA, 492 nt
Filed under: uncultured bacterium
Lineage: Bacteria
Description: partial 16S ribosomal RNA
Rfam family: Bacterial small subunit ribosomal RNA
Source: RNAcentral
AGUGAACGCUGGCGGUAUGCCUAACACAUGCAAGUCGAACGGCAGCACAGUAAGAGCUUGCUCUUACGGGUGGCGAGUGGCGGACGGGUGAGGAAUACAUCGGAAUCUACUUUUUCGUGGGGGAUAACGUAGGGAAACUUACGCUAAUACCUCAUACGACCUACGGGUGAAAGCAGGGGAUCUUCGGACCUUGCGCGAUUGAAUGAGCCGAUGUCGGAUUAGCUAGUUGGCGGGGUAAGGGCCCACCAAGGCGACGAUCCGUAGCAGGCCUGAGAGGAUGAUCAGCCACACUGGAACUGAGACACGGUCCAGACUCCUACGGGAGGCAGCAGUGGGGAAUAUUGGACAAUGGGCGCAAGCCUGAUCCAGCCAUACCGCGUGGGUGAAGAAGGCCUUCGGGUUGUAAAGCCCUGUUGUUGGGAAAGAACAGCAGCAGGUUAAUACCCCGCUGUUCUGACGGUACCCAAAGAAUAAGCACCGGCUAACUUCGUG